CACAAUCGAUUGUCAUUAGUUCACAAUCGAUUGUCAUGAAGGUUUGAAAAACCUGAUGCUCAUUGUCUUACUCACAAUCGAUUGUCAUUAGUUCACAAUAGAUUGUCAUGAAGUCUUGGCUUAAAACAAUCGAUUAUCAUAAGUACAUAAUCGAUUAUCUUAGUCCAGAUUUUUAAGGCAUGUCUAAAAAUUAUUUUGACUACNNN
Molecule: long non-coding RNA, 206 nt
Filed under: Nicotiana benthamiana
Lineage: Eukaryota; Viridiplantae; Streptophyta; Magnoliopsida; Solanales; Solanaceae
Description: long non-coding RNA (NBEN_LNC015835)
Source: RNAcentral